Molecule: non-coding RNA, 335 nt
Filed under: Halioglobus sp. HI00S01
Lineage: Bacteria; Pseudomonadati; Pseudomonadota; Gammaproteobacteria; Cellvibrionales; Halieaceae
Description: Bacterial large subunit ribosomal RNA
Rfam family: Bacterial large subunit ribosomal RNA
Source: Rfam by way of RNAcentral
AGGAGUACAAUCACGGCAGACAGACGGCGGGUGCUAACGUCCGUCGUCGAGAGGGCAACAACCCAGACCGCCAGCUAAGGUCCCAAAUACCAAUUAAGUGGGAAACGAUGUGGGAAGGCUUAGACAGCUAGGAGGUUGGCUUAGAAGCAGCCAUCCUUUAAAGAAAGCGUAAUAGCUCACUAGUCGAGUCGGCCUGCGCGGAAGAUGUAACGGGGCUAAAUUGGUAACCGAAGCUGCGGAUGCAUGCUUGCAUGCAUGGUAGAGGAGCGUUCUGUAAGCCGUUGAAGGUGAACCGGGAGGUUUGCUGGAGGUAUCAGAAGUGCGAAUGCUGACAU